UCUCGUGUAGCUCAGUUGGUAGAGCAUGGUGUUUGCAACGCCAGGGUUGUGGGUUCGAUUCCCACGGGGGGAA
This 73-nucleotide transfer RNA is filed under the name Salmo salar (Atlantic salmon). It matches the Rfam family "tRNA". From Rfam's summary of the family: Transfer RNA (tRNA) molecules are approximately 80 nucleotides in length. Their secondary structure includes four short double-helical elements and three loops (D, anti-codon, and T loops). Further hydrogen bonds mediate the characteristic L-shaped molecular structure. tRNAs have two regions of fundamental functional importance: the anti-codon, which is responsible for specific mRNA codon recognition, and the 3' end, to which the tRNAs corresponding amino acid is attached (by aminoacyl-tRNA synthetases). tRNAs cope with the degeneracy of the genetic code in two manners: having more than one tRNA (with a specific anti-codon) for a particular amino acid; and 'wobble' base-pairing, i.e. permitting non-standard base-pairing at the 3rd anti-codon position. Lineage: Eukaryota; Metazoa; Chordata; Actinopteri; Salmoniformes; Salmonidae. The record is from Rfam by way of RNAcentral.